GACGAACGCUGGCGGCGUGCUUAACACAUGCAAGUCGAACGGAAAGGCCCCUUCGGGGGUACUCGAGUGGCGAACGGGUGAGUAACACGUGAGUAACCUGCCCUUGACUUCGGGAUAACUUCAGGAAACUGGGGCUAAUACCGGAUAGGAAUCCUUGCUGCAUGGUGGGGGUUGGAAAGCUUCGGCGGUUUUGGAUGGACUCGCGGCUUAUCAGCUUGUUGGUGGGGUAGUGGCUUACCAAGGCUUUGACGGGUAGCCGGCCUGAGAGGGCGACCGGCCACAUUGGGACUGAGAUACGGCCCAGACUCCUACGGGAGGCAGCGGUGGGGAAUAUUGCACAAUGGGCGGAAGCCUGAUGCAGCAACGCCGCGUGCGGGAUGACGGCCUUCGGGUUGUAAACCGCUUUCAGCAGGGGCGAAGCUUGUGGUGACGGUACCUGCAGAAGAAGCACCGGCUAACUACGUG
RNAcentral lists this ribosomal RNA (465 nucleotides) under uncultured bacterium. RNAcentral's name for it is "partial 16S ribosomal RNA". It matches the Rfam family "Bacterial small subunit ribosomal RNA", at positions 28 to 507 of the family's 1533-position model. The record is from RNAcentral.